RNAcentral lists this ribosomal RNA (235 nucleotides) under uncultured bacterium. Its description in RNAcentral is "partial 16S ribosomal RNA". It matches the Rfam family "Bacterial small subunit ribosomal RNA", at positions 96 to 334 of the family's 1533-position model. The record is from RNAcentral.
UGGCGGACGGGUGAGUAAUGUCUGGGAAACUGCCCGAUGGAGGGGGAUAACUACUGGAAACGGUAGCUAAUACCGCAUAACGUCGCAAGACCAAAGAGGGGGACCUUAGGGCCUCUUGCCAUCGGAUGUGCCCAGAUGGGAUUAGCUUGUAGGUAAGGUAACGGCUUACCUAGGCGACGAUCCCUAGCUGGUCUGAGAGGAUGAUCAGCCACACUGGGACUGAGACACGGCCCAG